RNAcentral lists this ribosomal RNA (382 nucleotides) under uncultured eukaryote. RNAcentral describes it as "partial 18S ribosomal RNA". It matches the Rfam family "Eukaryotic small subunit ribosomal RNA", at positions 592 to 976 of the family's 1831-position model. The record is from RNAcentral.
UGUAAGCGUAUACCAAAGUUGUUGCAGUUAAAACGCUCGUAGUCGGAAUUUGGCAGUUCCGGAUGUGUGCACGUCGUGUGCGCACUUCGCAGGGAUUGCUUUUGUGGUCUUGCGUAGGAUGAGGCACUUUUAUUAGUGAACGUCCUCACGCAACCACUUUUUACUGUGAGAAAAUCAGAGUGCUCAAAGCAGGCAUUUGCCGUGAAUGUAUUAGCAUGGAAUAAUAGAAUAGGACUUGGUUCUAUUUUGUUGGUUUGUUGGGACUGAGUAAUGAUUAAGAGGGACAGUUGGGGGCAUUUGUAUUUCGGUGCUAGAGGUGAAAUUCUUAGAUUACCGAAAGACAAACUGCUGCGAAAGCGUCUGCCAAGGAUGUUUUCAUUGA